This 1545-nucleotide ribosomal RNA is filed under the name Citrobacter koseri. RNAcentral's name for it is "bacterial SSU rRNA". It matches the Rfam family "Bacterial small subunit ribosomal RNA". Lineage: Bacteria; Pseudomonadati; Pseudomonadota; Gammaproteobacteria; Enterobacterales; Enterobacteriaceae. The record is from RNAcentral.
CCUCAGUAAAACCGAACGCCAGUGAUCAGAGUUUGAUUAUGGCUCAGAUUGAACGCUGGCGGCAGGCCUAACACAUGCAAGUCGAACGGUAACAGGAAGCAGCUUGCUGCUUUGCUGACGAGUGGCGGACGGGUGAGUAAUGUCUGGGAAACUGCCUGAUGGAGGGGGAUAACUACUGGAAACGGUAGCUAAUACCGCAUAACGUCGCAAGACCAAAGAGGGGGACCUUCGGGCCUCUUGCCAUCAGAUGUGCCCAGAUGGGAUUAGCUUGUUGGUGGGGUAACGGCUCACCAAGGCGACGAUCCCUAGCUGGUCUGAGAGGAUGACCAGCCACACUGGAACUGAGACACGGUCCAGACUCCUACGGGAGGCAGCAGUGGGGAAUAUUGCACAAUGGGCGCAAGCCUGAUGCAGCCAUGCCGCGUGUAUGAAGAAGGCCUUCGGGUUGUAAAGUACUUUCAGCGGGGAGGAAGGUGUUGUGGUUAAUAACCACAGCAAUUGACGUUACCCGCAGAAGAAGCACCGGCUAACUCCGUGCCAGCAGCCGCGGUAAUACGGAGGGUGCAAGCGUUAAUCGGAAUUACUGGGCGUAAAGCGCACGCAGGCGGUCUGUUAAGUCAGAUGUGAAAUCCCCGGGCUCAACCUGGGAACUGCAUCUGAUACUGGCAGGCUUGAGUCUCGUAGAGGGGGGUAGAAUUCCAGGUGUAGCGGUGAAAUGCGUAGAGAUCUGGAGGAAUACCGGUGGCGAAGGCGGCCCCCUGGACGAAGACUGACGCUCAGGUGCGAAAGCGUGGGGAGCAAACAGGAUUAGAUACCCUGGUAGUCCACGCCGUAAACGAUGUCGACUUGGAGGUUGUGCCCUUGAGGCGUGGCUUCCGGAGCUAACGCGUUAAGUCGACCGCCUGGGGAGUACGGCCGCAAGGUUAAAACUCAAAUGAAUUGACGGGGGCCCGCACAAGCGGUGGAGCAUGUGGUUUAAUUCGAUGCAACGCGAAGAACCUUACCUGGUCUUGACAUCCACGGAAGUUUUCAGAGAUGAGAAUGUGCCUUCGGGAACCGUGAGACAGGUGCUGCAUGGCUGUCGUCAGCUCGUGUUGUGAAAUGUUGGGUUAAGUCCCGCAACGAGCGCAACCCUUAUCCUUUGUUGCCAGCGGUCCGGCCGGGAACUCAAAGGAGACUGCCAGUGAUAAACUGGAGGAAGGUGGGGAUGACGUCAAGUCAUCAUGGCCCUUACGACCAGGGCUACACACGUGCUACAAUGGCAUAUACAAAGAGAAGCGACCUCGCGAGAGCAAGCGGACCUCAUAAAGUAUGUCGUAGUCCGGAUUGGAGUCUGCAACUCGACUCCAUGAAGUCGGAAUCGCUAGUAAUCGUGGAUCAGAAUGCCACGGUGAAUACGUUCCCGGGCCUUGUACACACCGCCCGUCACACCAUGGGAGUGGGUUGCAAAAGAAGUAGGUAGCUUAACCUUCGGGAGGGCGCUUACCACUUUGUGAUUCAUGACUGGGGUGAAGUCAUAACAAGGUAAUAUGGUCAUACUGCUCC